AUUGAACGCUGGCGGCAGGCUUAACACAUGCAAGUCGAGCGGGGUGAUGGUGCUUGCACUAUCACUUAGCGGCGGACGGGUGAGUAAUGCUUAGGAAUCUGCCUGUUAGUGGGGGACAACAUCUCGAAAGGGAUGCUAAUACCGCAUACGUCCUACGGGAGAAAGCAGGGGAUCACUUGUGACCUUGCGCUAAUAGAUGAGCCUAAGUCGGAUUAGCUAGUUGGUGGGGUAAAGGCCUACCAAGGCGACGAUCUGUAGCGGGUCUGAGAGGAUGAUCCCCCACACUGGGACUGAGACACGGCCCAGACUCCUACGGGAGGCAGCAGUGGGGAAUAUUGGACAAUGAGGGGAACCCUGAUCCAGCCAUGCCGCGUGUGUGAAGAAGGCCUUAUGGUUGUAAAGCACUUUAAGCGAAGAGGAGGCUCUUUUGGUUAAUACCCAAGAUGAGUGGACGUUACUCGCAGAAUAAGCACCGGCUAACUCUGUGCCAGCAGCCGCUGUAA
Molecule: ribosomal RNA, 503 nt
Filed under: uncultured bacterium
Lineage: Bacteria
Description: partial 16S ribosomal RNA
Rfam family: Bacterial small subunit ribosomal RNA
Source: RNAcentral